RNAcentral lists this ribosomal RNA (497 nucleotides) under uncultured bacterium. RNAcentral's name for it is "partial 16S ribosomal RNA". It matches the Rfam family "Bacterial small subunit ribosomal RNA", at positions 28 to 507 of the family's 1533-position model. The record is from RNAcentral.
GAUGAACGCUGGCGGCGUGCCUAAUACAUGCAAGUCGAGCGAACGGACGCGACGCUUGCUUUUCUGAUGUUAGCGGCGGACGUGUGAGUAACACGUGGAUAACCUACCUAUAAUACUGGGAUAACUUCGGGAAACCGGCGCUAAUCCCGGAUAAUCUUUUGAACCGCAUUGUUCAAUAGUGAAAGACGGUCUUGCUGUCACUUCUAGAUGGAUCCGCGCUUCAGUAGAUAGUUGGUAAGGUAACGGCUUACAAAGGCAACGAUGCGUAGCCGACCUGAGAGGGUGAUAGGCCACAUUGGAACUGAGACACGGUCAAGACGACUAAGGGAGGCAGCAGUAGGGAAUGGGCCGCAAUGGGGGAAAGCAUGACGGAGUAAGGCCGAGUGAGUGAUGAAGGUCUUGGGAUCGUAAAAAUCGGUUAUGAGGGAAGAACAUAUGUGUAAGGAAAUGUGCACAGAGUGACGGUACCGAAUCAGAAAGCCACGGCUAACUACGUG